This 583-nucleotide long non-coding RNA is filed under the name Lathyrus oleraceus (garden pea). RNAcentral's name for it is "Pisum sativum (pea) long non-coding RNA (PSAT_LNC014721)". Lineage: Eukaryota; Viridiplantae; Streptophyta; Magnoliopsida; Fabales; Fabaceae. The record is from RNAcentral.
AAAGACGCACACUGAGGCACGUUAUUUGUUUUCACCCUUUUAGCCUUUCUAGCCAUCCACAAUGUUGUAUUUAUCCGUUGUUAACCCUGUUGAGCUUGUACCCCAUUGUUUGUGUAAACCGUCAUGUUAACCAUAAGACAAACACUUCCUACCCUCGCUCGACAUGACUGUUGUAGUGUAAAAUUUGUGCAAAAAGAUAAGUUUGGGGUUGUGAUCCUUAGAAGUAAUUUUGGAAAAGGGGCAAGUGCAAAAAAAAAACUGUGUAGAAACAUCCGCUUCUAUCGAAAGAAAAAAAAAGAAAAGAAAUAAAAAAUAGAAAUGAAGUAUAAGCACUUGCCUAGGUCAUAGACUCGUGCAUUAAUGUGAUACUCAAAAGAAAAAAAAUUGAGUGAAAAGGAGUCAAGAUUGGAUAACACCCCAUAAAAUUAUUCGUGCACAAAGAAAAACAACAACAUGAAUGCCGAGUUCUAAAACCUUCUGUCAUCCAUUUUCUUGUCUACUCCCCCGCCGUACCUAAGCCCCGUUACAACCCGGAAGACCUCUUAAAGUGUGUGAAUUUUGUUUGUGUAGUUAACGUAGAAUC